Molecule: long non-coding RNA, 789 nt
Organism: Spea bombifrons (plains spadefoot toad)
Lineage: Eukaryota; Metazoa; Chordata; Amphibia; Anura; Pelobatidae
Exons: 2
Source: RefSeq, a predicted model, not a curated record
AUGACGCUUCGCAGGAACUUCUGGCACUUUAAUGCCCGUCCGUGGCAAACCUGGACAGAGGUGAAACCCAGGGGGCCACAAACCUGGACAGAGGUGAAACCCAGUUUAGUAGCCAAAGAGGCACGGCCAUAGAGUUUACUGCUGUAUGCUGUGGGAGACAGUCUGCUUUACCAAAGGUGAGCAUCCUAUUCACCUGUUCGCAAGGAUGGAAGUAACGACCAUCUUGGGGUUUGCGCUGAGGGAUGGGAGGCUUGAGGACUACACAUUAGUUCUAGAGAUAUUUUAGCCAAAAAAUGAUUUGUCUCCAUGUCUGCUUCACCGCCCCGCAGUAAUCUGCGACAUGCGUCCUCGUGGCCGAAAUAGCUCUCCUGACCUGGCUCAUUAACAGGCUCCAUCUCUUAACUACUCACACCGCACUGUGACUUUGACAGCUGCAACCGUUUAGUAAAUGGAUCCCUAGUGGCACAAUGCCGGAACAUCGUCACAAGCGAAUCGGGUAGAAAAAAAGUCUAAUUUUGUAAACGGAAAGCCGGUAAUUUUACGCAUAGUGUAUUUUUUUGUCGUGGUUGUAGAAAUGGAGUGCGCUUCGUGGCUAGAGGAUUGCGUCACGGCAGUCUCGCCUUGGCCCGCUCUCCCGUGUCUGUCCGCGUGCCCUCGCCCAGCAGGAGAAUCCUUUUUUAUCCGUUUUUUUUUUUUUUAAACAAAUGGUGUAGAAAUGUAUAUAUUUGUAUGGAAGUUCUCCUUUUUUAUGAUAGCAAAAAAUAAACUUGCAAGAAUAUUGUAAUAAAA